Ribosomal RNA from Gorilla gorilla gorilla (western lowland gorilla), 135 nucleotides. The record is from Ensembl. Lineage: Eukaryota; Metazoa; Chordata; Mammalia; Primates; Hominidae.
GACUACUGCCAUACUACCCUGAAGGCACCUGUUCUCAUCUGAUCUCGGAAGCUAAGCAGGGUCAGUCCUGGUUAGUACUUGGAUGGGAGAAUUACAAUUUCAAAGACAAGGCUAUGUUAAAGAUCCGAAGCGACU